AACUGUUUCUACUCAGUGAUUGUGUUAUAAAAUAUUUGGGCCUAAAUAUUUGAUGGAAAAGAAGUUAAGGGCACUUAGUGUGUGUUAUGUUUUCAAUCUACCCUAGCAUCUUGAACAGAGAUGCUCACCUCAUGAUAAGGAAGUAGUGUGGCUGUGUGGUAAUAGGAUAGGUCCAGGGGAAGACAUGGUCUCCAAGGAUAUGCUUCAUUUACUUCCUGUCACCAGACCCCACCAGCCACAGCCUCUCUCUAGUAGUCUUCAAAUCCUGCAGUCUUCAACGUACUCAAACUCUCAUUAGUUCAGAAUCCUGAACAUAUAUAUAUACCUUAAAAGGGUAGGCAAUCCAGAAGAAUUCUAGAAAACCGAUAAAUUUGUAUAUAGAUAUAUACAUAUAUGUAUAUAUGACCUAUCAAAAUUAAACCAUGGAUAUUUGAAACACUUAUAUAGAUCUGUAACAAGCAAUGAGAUUAGAGCAGUAAUUAUGACUUCCCCAAAGAAAGUUCCUAGACAGAUUCACUGCUAAAGUCAACCAAUUAAAAACUAUUGUGUAAAUUUAAUUGCUGUUGAUCAUAUCUAUAGGAUAGGAAAAGGCAUUUAACUUACUUUUUAUUAAGGCACAUAUAGAUAAAUACACUGAACAUUCACUAUAACAUAGAAAUUGCUAUGAAAACUUAUACAGAAGUAAUUUGUUCCAACUCAGUAUCUCUAGGGCUUGUGAAAUUUAGUUGAACCUUUAAAAAAGAAGAAUUUUCAUAGCUAAAAAUAGUGUUCAGAAGACAGUAUAUUUCAGGAAGAUGAUCGGGCCCUGCCUCCCAACUUCUGCAAGCUGUGUGGCUCCAAAUGGCUUGAGCUUUCCUCUAGGGAUAGAAAACCAGGCAGAGAGGUCCUUAUAUGAUCUCUUACAGUCUCUAAACAACCAUUAAUUCACCUCUGGGUGUAUUCUUAGGAAUUCAUAAUCCAGUGUUGUAUUUUUUGAGGUAUAAAGAGACAACUAACAGUAGACUUUUUUCUGAGAUUUUUUUUCAAUUUAAGAAAAACUUAUGAGGCAUCCUGCUUAUAGUUUUAGGACCAUAUUCUGCGAGUGGUUUCUACAUUUGUAAAGAGAGACAGGAUCGAUGUAGACCUUUUUCUUAGCAAAGUUUCAAUGGAACAGCAUCAUAUUUUUCCUGUUUUUGUUCCACUGAGUAUGUAAAAAUUUCACAGAGCUCUUUUUCUCCACACCCCCCCCUUAUUGGAAGUCUUCAAUUGUAAAGAGAAUAUAAUGGCUUUGGGAAAUCUGAAACCAUGAAAUUAAAUAUAAUUACUUUGUUAUUUUUCAUUUUAAGCCAUCUGUGUUAAAAUGUUGGAAAUUAAAGUACUCUAAAUUUAAAGACAUGCUUUGACAUUUUGAACAAUGAUCAGAUUCUUAUAAGGAAUAAAUUCUUACCAGGUGCAUGGUCUGGAUUAAGAGAGCUCUUUGCCCUCUGUCAUUCUUCCCACUGUAUUUUCUUGACAUCUUAUCAUGCCUCAAAAUUGUGGACAGCUGCAGAAUACCCAUCUGAUGGCAGCAGGCUGCCUGUUGGUGUUCAGUGGACAGAAUGCAAUUACUGACACAAAACUAUAAAUUAACAUAUUUUCUACAUUAAAAUGUAUUUCCUUACUGAAGAUACAAUUGAAAAGACCUUACUUUUAAAAUUUGAUCCUUUUAUUUUGUAUGUGUGAGUAUUUUGGCUGCAUGUAUGGCUGUGUACCAUAUACAUGCAGUGCCUUUGGAGGCCAGAAGAGGAAAUUUUAUCCUCUGGAACUGGAUUUACAGAUGUAGGUAAACUGUGGGCUCACCCUGUUGGUGCUGAAAACCAAACUUUAGUCUCAGAAAGAGUAGCUGGUGCUCUUAACUGCUGAGCGAUCUCUUCAGCUGCUUGAAUGCAUCUUCAAAACCGAAGCAACUCUCCCAUAUUGCAGUUUGACUACAGAUUUCUUCUUUUGAAAUUCAUAGGCAAAUGGAUGGAACUGGAAAAUAUCAUCCUGAGUGAGGUAACCCAAUCACAGAAAAACACACAUGGUAUGCACUCAUUGAUAAGUGGCUAUUAGCCCAAAUGCUUGAAUUACCCUAGAUGCACAAAACACAUGAAACUCAAGAAGGAUGACCAAAAUGCGAAUGCUUCAUUCCUUCUUUAAAAGGGGAACAAGAAUACCCUUGGGAGGGAAUAGGGAGGCAAAGUUUAGAACAGAGGCUGAAGGAACAUCCAUUCAGAGCCUGGGAAAGGGAAUAACAUUUGAAAUGUAAUUAAGAAAUACCCAAUUUAAUGGAAAAAAAAAAGAACAGUUCAUUAGAGUCCACAAAUAGAACACUCCUGAUUUAUUUAAAUGUAAAUGAAAUACACUUGUUCUUUUCCUUGUUAAUCUUGAGAAAUUCAUAAUGUGCUUCUAGAAUGUUACUUUCUGGAUGAAUUCAUAUGCAGGAUAGUGUGUUUUCUGUCAAAAUCCAGCAGAAAGAAGCAACAAUAUGUUGUACAUGUCCACAGCAAUGUAAGUAUAAGCCUGUCUUAUGUUUGUAGUUAAAUGGUAUUCUAAAACUUGGUGAGUUUUACAAAAAGUGAUUGAGUUCACAGCUACAAAGGCUCAAGGACAUUGUUCUGAUAUCUAUAUGUUCUGUUCUAGUAAAGGCUACAUGGUAGAUGGCAUCAUGGUCGAUGACAUGAUGAUAGAAGACUUCAUGGGGAACCAAAAAUUAUAAUGUCAUCAUGAUCAAUAGCCUCUUGCCAGACAGCAUCAUGAUGGAUAGUAUCACAGGAAAGGUACCAUCAUAGUAAAGGCAUCUUGGUGAAGGCAUCAUGAGUGUUAAUUUCAAAUGCUGCCCUCUAAGGGCCAAGCAAUCAGGAUGAAACCCUGGCCUUCUCCACUGGCUUCUUAGAUUCUUCAUUAAGAAUCAUAGCCUUUUGAUAAUAAAGGAGGUAAAGAAAGAUGGGACAAUACGUGCAACUGUAUAUUAAAAGACAGCGAUGAGAAAAUUUGGAAUGUGAUAUAUGCUAUAUGCUAUAUGAAGAGAGUUUGAAUGGCUUAUUACUGCCAGGACUCUCCUAAUGCUGAGCUGAACCUCUAUGUACAGUAUGAUAUCACUGUUUUUUUUUUUACCACACCAUGAAGUACCUUGGGCACCUUCAGGAUCACAGAAAACCAAAUGACUCCAGAAUGUUCUAUCACACCAUGAUCCUCUGAUCCUCUUCAGAAAGGAACAUUCUCAACUCACCUCUCAGAACAAAGGGAAAGCAAGGAACAGAUACAAGCAAAGCAACAGAAUCUGAAACAUGCUGAUAAAUCAAGAAAGGAAGUCUUCCACAGCACCUGAGAAAGCCAUGUGAAAGCUACCAUAACAGCUUGAAAUAUCAGUGCACCAUGCACUCAUAUGUCACGGUGAGACUAGUCUUGCUCUAACAACUGUGGGCUGGAGAAGAUUCAUAGAGGAGAUAGAGGAUUUUUUUGUUAUUGUCUACAUUUGUCUGUGGGUCUCUAGAGCAGUGGUUUUCAAGCCAUGGGUUGUGAUCUCUUUGGCAAACCUCUAUCUCCAAAACUGUUUACGACAUCAUUAUGAAGUUGCAAAAAUACAGUAUGUGGUAGAAGGAAGAAUAAUUUUAUGGUGAGGGUCACCACAACAUGAGGAACUAAUUUAGAAGCUGCACCAGUAGGAAGGUUGAGAUGCUCUGGAACUUGUGCGUCUGACCAAGGACAUUUUCUCAUCACCAGCCCUGGAUGGUCUCUCUGCUCACUGUUCUUUCAUUCUAGGCAACUUGUCUAGGAAGCUCUGUGAUUCACCACAGUUUCCCACCCUCCUAGAUCCCAUUAUACUGUCUUGAGGAGAACUAUGCUUACGGGGGAAAGUGCUAGAAGCAAGUUUUCAUUCCAUCUGACUCAGCUUUGUUAUUCAUUAUUUUUGGCAAGUAAAAUGAAUAAGAAAAUUUUUAGUAUAGCUUUGAAGUUAUUCUAAAAUUUGAAAUCAAAUGCUGAAUUUACAGUCAUCCCGUCAUCGAAAAAUUUUAACAAGUUAUUUUACUAUAAUAAUUUUGGUUUAUUCUAACAUCACACCAGGCAUCCAUGCAUUUUGUUUGCAAAUAUAAAGAAAAAAUGUACCAGUUAUAUGCACGGUCUCUGUGUACACAUAAAUAAU
Molecule: non-coding RNA, 4144 nt
Organism: Rattus norvegicus (Norway rat)
Lineage: Eukaryota; Metazoa; Chordata; Mammalia; Rodentia; Muridae
Source: RefSeq, a predicted model, not a curated record